This 851-nucleotide ribosomal RNA is filed under the name Ramularia lactea. RNAcentral's name for it is "eukaryotic LSU rRNA". It matches the Rfam family "Eukaryotic large subunit ribosomal RNA", at positions 54 to 936 of the family's 3401-position model. Lineage: Eukaryota; Fungi; Ascomycota; Dothideomycetes; Mycosphaerellales; Mycosphaerellaceae. The record is from RNAcentral. RNAcentral also lists the same sequence under 4 other names.
AGGAAAAGAAACCAACAGGGAUUGCCCUAGUAACGGCGAGUGAAGCGGCAACAGCUCAAAUUUGAAAUCUGGCGCAAGCCCGAGUUGUAAUUUGUAGAGGAUGCUUCUAGGUAGCGACCGGUCUAAGUUCCUUGGAACAGGACGUCAUAGAGGGUGAGAAUCCCGUAUGUGACCGGCCCGCACCUUCUACGUAGCUCCUUCGACGAGUCGAGUUGUUUGGGAAUGCAGCUCUAAAUGGGAGGUAAAUUUCUUCUAAAGCUAAAUACCGGCCAGAGACCGAUAGCGCACAAGUAGAGUGAUCGAAAGAUGAAAAGCACUUUGGAAAGAGAGUUAAAAAGCACGUGAAAUUGUUGAAAGGGAAGCGCUUACAACCAGACUUCUGGGCGGUGUUCCGCCGGUCUUUUGACCGGUCUACUCGCCGUCCCGAGGCCAACAUCAUCUGGGACCGCUGGAUAAGACCUCAGGAAUGUAGCUUCCCUCGGGAAGUGUUAUAGCCUGUGGUGAUGCAGCGCGUCUCGGGUGAGGUCCGCGCUUCGGCAAGGAUGUUGGCGUAAUGGUUGUCAGCGGCCCGUCUUGAAACACGGACCAAGGAGUCUAACAUCUAUGCGAGUGUUCGGGUGUCAAACCCCUACGCGUAAUGAAAGUGAACGGAGGUGGGAAGCGUAAGCUGCACCAUCGACCGAUCCUGAUGUCCUCGGAUGGAUUUGAGUAAGAGCAUAGCUGUUGGGACCCGAAAGAUGGUGAACUAUGCCUGAAUAGGGUGAAGCCAGAGGAAACUCUGGUGGAGGCUCGCAGCGGUUCUGACGUGCAAAUCGAUCGUCAAAUUUGGGUAUAGGGGCGAAAGACUAAUC